GCUUGUUCCUCUGGCCCAUAUAAUACAAUUGGAAUUCUAUGGAGAAGGUUAGCAUCACCCUUUCACAAGGAUGACAAACAAAUUCUUAAAACAUUCUAUAUUUAA
This is a small nuclear RNA of Dromiciops gliroides (monito del monte), 105 nucleotides long. Lineage: Eukaryota; Metazoa; Chordata; Mammalia; Microbiotheria; Microbiotheriidae. The record is from RefSeq and is a predicted model, not a curated record.